Molecule: non-coding RNA, 587 nt
Organism: Myodes glareolus (Bank vole)
Lineage: Eukaryota; Metazoa; Chordata; Mammalia; Rodentia; Cricetidae
Source: RefSeq, a predicted model, not a curated record
GGCGGAGGGGACUUGGCAGGUGCUAAGAUUUAUUGGGGAAAGGCUCACUUGACAAGGUUUUGGGCAAGGUGACUUGGCCAAAUCUACAAUAAAACUGAACAUUCCUUUAAUCAGCACCAUCAGAAAGGAAGGGGAUAUGUGCCUGCUUGUCACCGUUCAUCAAAGCACAGGAUGAGACUGUGACAGACCCCACUGAAGGGAUGCUGAGAGGAGAAAGAAAAGUGAAGGGCGGAAGAAAGAACAAAAGCCAAGACAAGAAAUCACAAAAGAAAGGAUGUCCGUGUGUGAGACAGGCUGGCUCUCUCUCCCACAGUGCCCAGUAGCUGCCAGCCUGGACUUGACCCAGGGGAGUUCCAGCCUAAGGAGGAGUCUUCUCUCCCAGGAGGCCAGCAGCUAGUGUAGCUCUAAUCAACUAAUUCAUAAAAUUCUAAGAAUCAAAAGAUUACCCUGCCAGCCAGUUUCUGCCUUGAAGGUUUUAAAUAUAAGAUAUGCACACUUUUCUGAGGACUCAAGGGAUGGAUGCCAUUGUCACAUUAAUUAUUACAGAGGAACUGUAAUUAUUACAUUAAUAAUUAAUUAUUGCAUCG